This is a non-coding RNA of Pelobates cultripes (western spadefoot toad), 89 nucleotides long. The record is from the annotation of a GenBank genome assembly. Lineage: Eukaryota; Metazoa; Chordata; Amphibia; Anura; Pelobatidae.
CUCCAGAUGUUGCUGAACUACAACUCCCAUGAUUCUCAGCCUAUUUCCUUCAUAGAAUCAUGGGAGUUGUAGUUCAGCAACAUCUGGAG